This 253-nucleotide ribosomal RNA is filed under the name uncultured bacterium. Its description in RNAcentral is "partial 16S ribosomal RNA". It matches the Rfam family "Bacterial small subunit ribosomal RNA", at positions 524 to 776 of the family's 1533-position model. The record is from RNAcentral.
UACAGAGGGUGCAAGCGUUGUUCGGAAUUAUUGGGCGUAAAGAGCUCGUAGGCGGUUUAUCGCGUCGGAUGUGAAAACCCAGGGCUCAACCCUGGGCCUGCAUUCGAUACGGGCAGACUAGAGUAUGGCAGGGGAGACUGGAAUUCCUGGUGUAGCGGUGAAAUGCGCAGAUAUCAGGAGGAACACCGGUGGCGAAGGCGGGUCUCUGGGCCAAAACUGACGCUGAGGAGCGAAAGCGUGGGGAGCGAACAGG